CUUGUUCAACGUCAAAAUUCAAGGCAAAAUCUACUCAUCAAUCACACUCAUCGGUUCAAAUCAUGUCACCAUAUCAAGAAAAAUUAGGAAUUACCUUCUUUUUCGCAGAAAUCUUCACAGGCACCUUACCAAACAACUAAAUGGAGCAACAACCAAUCAAAUAGCACAGAAAAUACGGAAUAAGUCUGAGAGAAUUAAUCAAUUUAGGUACAUGCCCACGAAUAAAAGAUCUAGAGAUUUCCUCACCAAAACAUCAAAAAGAACAGAAAAAUGAAAAAUGCUAGGCUAAAAAUGCAAACCAUAACUAAUCUCCAUCCCCCUCCCCCAAACUUAUUAAGGAGCUAAUGCUCGAAAAUAAGGUUGGAGGGAAAAAUAGAUAAAAGUUAUGGUUAGCAUACUUACUAAUCCUCAAGAUGGCGGUCCCUGUCUCCUCUGGAACUCCUGAAACUGUCUUAGGAGUUCCUCCUGCAUAGCCAUCUGCCUCGCAUACUCCUGUUGCUGCCUCUCCAUCUCCGCCCGCUGCCACGCCUCAAAAGCGCCAUAGUGAGCGAACUGCUCGCGCUGAUAGGCGUCCAUGGCUUGUUGCUGCAGUCUAACCGCUGUGACAUCAGUGCGCAUCACUGUGAGCUGCGCCUCUUGUUGCUCGGCGAAGGCCUGCAACCGCUGCAUCCUGUCAGUAAGAUCAGUCACAUCAAAAUGACGGACCCGGUCCCCAUUGGUCUCCUGCUGCGUCGGCGGCGGGUUCCUCUUGCACCUCUUCCUCCUCGUACACCUGCUGCGGGAUCUGCUCGUCCGCCGGCAUCCCUGCUACAGCCCUUACGUGGGCGUUUGUGUUCAUCAACCAGUUCUGCGUUUCAAAACGUCCGCCCACACGAGUAAGAGGCGGGUUCGGCAGGGGGAAGUGGUCGCCAUCAGUUUGCACCAAUUUGAAAGGUGGUUGGGCGCUCCUCAAGAAUCGCAUGUUGACCAACCGACGGGCAUUGAGCAGAUUGUCGCCCUCCAAAGCAUCCCACUGAGCGAUUGCGGGACAAAUGCGGCGUGCAAGGGGCGUUAUCAUCCCUCCAAUGGUGAUCACUCCUGCGGUAGUCCUAGAUGCCUUGAAUAUCUGCCUGAGGANUGAUCUACUAUUUUUAUAGACAACAAUAAACUGACAACUAAACAGUAUAAUUGUAGUACGAAAACAGCAAGCAGAGUAUCGUAUCCACAGAGACUGUAAACGAAAUUACUCUAUCUACUUCCUAAACAGACUCUCACAGUAUGCAGGUAAAACGAAUUUGAAGGUGAAUUACGAACUAAGAUUAACUAAAUAAAACUAAAGAGCAUGUAAACUAUAAUAAUUAACUCAAAUAUAUGGAAAACUCUGACCCUAGGGAUGUACUUUCACUAAUCAACUACAUGUAUUUAACCUAUUGAUUCAAUUACCAAUUUUAAUCCAACCCUGAUGAAAGAUCACUAUAUUAUUCACAAGCGUCUCUAACGACCACCUAUGAACGUAGAUUAAUUAAUCCCUUUUCGCAUUCAAGACUCCAAGGAAUAAAUUAACUCCAAAUAGCACAUAAAGAAUAGCUUCCUAUAGCUUCACCUAUCGCAUUCAAGACUCAAGGUUAACACUAUAUCAUGCAUUCCUGAAUCGGCUGAACAAUUAUCGCAUUCAAGACUCAAAUUGAACAGCUAAACAUGUAAAUCAUUGAUCAGAUAAUUCACAAGAGAACAGGCACCAGGAAUCAUGAAUCAUAAGUUGGAAGGCAAAUUGAUAUCAAUAAAUCAAAAACACAUAAUCAAUCAGCUAUGUACAAACCCUAGGUUCAGAUUAAAAGAUUAGCCAGACAUAAUAAAAUCAAACAUAAAAAUAAUUAAAUUGAACGCAAUUGUAAAAACAAAUUGUAUAAAACCGAAUUAAAACGAUUGUAGCGGCUUGAAUCUUCAAUCCUGAUCCAAGCCUUGAAAACUGGAAAGCUCAAAAGUUCUAAAGCUAUAAAACUGUAAUAUGAAUGUUAAGAACUGAAAAACUAAAGCUGGGAACCCUAGAUAGGUCUAAAGAGGACCUAUUUAUAGUCUUAGGGUGAAAAACCAAGUUCUAAACCGAAAAUAACUUGAAAAAUCGUAAAAACGCGGAAGAAAAUAAAACACGCGGUCAAUUCGGCGGCCCGUUCGGCGGUCGCCGAAUGGGUCGCCGAAAUCUGGCCGUUUUACUCAUGGAUCGGCGAUCGCCGUUUUUGCAGCUCUAGGCCAAAAUUGAGUCAGGGUUUUCGGCGACCUGGCCGGCGGUCGCCGUUCUGGUCGCCGUUUUACUCUUAAACCUAAUUCGGCGGUCAACGCUCCUUUGACCGCCGAUCGCUCCUUUUCCGUCCCGACUCCAGAAUCUUCGUCUUUUCUUGAUCUUUGGGCUCGAUUCUCUCAUAACUCUUCUCUUCAACAUGUCCUUAUACUCCAUGCUUCCAAAUCACUCAAUUCUGCAUCCAAACAGUCAAAACUACACCCAAACGUGAAAUCACGAAAUAAUAGGCAAUAAACUCUAAACCAUAAUGAAACGGGUGUAAAAUCGACUUAAACCACAGAAUAUAAACCAUAAAAACUAUGCAAAAUGAGUGUUUAUCAACUCCCCCAAACUUAAGAUGUUGCUCGUCCUCGAACAACGAGAAGAACAAAACAAUAAACACGAAUGGGUAAGAUGAUUGGAUCAUCGAUGCCUCAGAAAAAUAAAACUUUUCGAAUUCCCUCAAAUCCUCAACACAGGAACACAAUAAUCACAACAAGCAUAAUCAAUGGCAAAUUCAACCUUGACAUUCCAACAAUUGACUCUCAAGAUAAAAGUGUUUCACUCAACUCUCAAUUGAUGGAUAAAGGACGUGUAUCACUCAUCGAAACUCAUGCAAUGCAGAUUACUUACCAUAUGCUUGCCACUCGUCUCAAAAUCUCCAUCGCUAAAAGUGUGCCAAGAGUAAGAUCAAAUAGGUCUUUAUUUUAGGUUCUAAUGUAGGGACAUUGGAUUAGGUAGGGAAAUUUGGCUAGUGACUCAAAUAAAUUGAUUACACCAACCUUAUGACUUCACCAUUAAGCAUGGAAAAAUUCCAUCUUCACCUAACACAUCUUCAUAAUCAUCACAAAUCAAGGGGUAUAAUCAUCACAAAUCAUGCUAGACAUUCUUUUAUGCUCUCACUUUUCUAAUAACAACGAAGUCGAUUUCAUGAAUUUUUCACUUAUCACUCGACUUUCUCAAACAACUUUCAUCACAAAUUAUCUUCUUCUUUUUUUUUUUUUUUUUUUCUUGAGCUUAUAAGAAUGACUAGAAUAUUUUUCUUUCACCCCUUAUUAUCAAUCAACCCAUCACAAAUACCACACAACGAUCCCUAUAAACUCCAUUACCCCCUAUCGUCCGGUUAAUGAAUCAAAUCUUAGAAAGGCUCAAACACGGUUAACAAGGGAUUAAUGUUUUUCAGGAAAGUGUUUGGGAUAUAACGUGGCUUACAAAAGAUGGCCUAAGAUCAUCUCAAACUCUUGAACACAACGAGCAACCUCGACCAAGACUCAUGGCAAGUUCUAGAAGUGCACUACAUGCAUGAUAACACUCAAAAACAAAGAACAAACUGUAAAUAUGGGCAGUUAAGGCUCAAUUCCUCACCAGCUUGUUCAACGUCAAAAUUCAAGGCAAAAUCUACUCAUCAAUCACACUCAUCGGUUCAAAUCAUGUCACCAUAUCAAGAAAAAUUAGGAAUUACCUUCUUUUUCGCAGAAAUCUUCACAGGCACCUUACCAAACAAUCAAAUGAAGCAACAACCAAUCAAAUAGCAACGAUUUAGAAUAAGUCUGGGAGAAUUAAUCAAUUUAGGUACAUGCCCACGAAUAAAAGAUCUAGAGAAUUUCCUCACCAAAACAUCAAAAAGAACAGAAAAAUGCUAGGCUAAAAAUGCAAACCAUAACUAAUCUCCAUCCCCCUCCCCCAAACUUAUUAAGGAGCUAAUGCUCGAAAAUAAG
Molecule: long non-coding RNA, 3975 nt
Filed under: Salvia miltiorrhiza (redroot sage)
Lineage: Eukaryota; Viridiplantae; Streptophyta; Magnoliopsida; Lamiales; Lamiaceae
Description: long non-coding RNA (SMIL_LNC006907)
Source: RNAcentral